UGGGGAAUAUUGGACAAUGGACCAAGAGUCUGAUCCAGCAAUUCUGUGUGCACGAUGAAGUUUUUCGGAAUGUAAAGUGCUUUCAGUUGGGAAGAAAAAAAUGACGGUACCAACAGAAGAAGUGACGGCUAAAUACGUGCCAGCAGCCGCGGUAAUACGUAUGUCACGAGCGUUAUCCGGAUUUAUUGGGCGUAAAGCGCGUCUAGGUGGUUAUGUAAGUCUGAUGUGAAAAUGCAGGGCUCAACUCUGUAUUGCGUUGGAAACUGUAUAACUAGAGUACUGGAGAGGUAAGCGGAACUACAAGUGUAGAGGUGAAAUUCGUAGAUAUUUGUAGGAAUGCCGAUGGGGAAGCCAGCUUACUGGACAGAUACUGACGCUGAAGCGCGAAAGCGUGGGUAGCAAACAGGAUUAGAUACCCUGGUAGUCCACGCCGUAAACGAUGAUUACUAGGUGUUGGGGGUCGAACCUCAGCGCCCAAGCAAACGCGAUAAGUAAUCCGCCUGGGGAGUACAUACGCAAGUAUG
This 524-nucleotide ribosomal RNA is filed under the name uncultured bacterium. RNAcentral describes it as "bacterial SSU rRNA". It matches the Rfam family "Bacterial small subunit ribosomal RNA", at positions 355 to 896 of the family's 1533-position model. The record is from RNAcentral.